AUAUUCCUGGGUUAUUCGUUGAGGAAUCAUAAUUGAACCUACAGCACUUAAAUGGGAAUUCGGAGUUUUCGAAACGUUAUGUCAGGCCUUCGGAGCAGAGGAAGACAGAGGUUAGAAACAGAGUACCCACCUAUCAUUGAGAUAGGGAAUCAAUUAUCUCCUUGACGGUACCCCGGGUAUCAA
RNAcentral lists this non-coding RNA (183 nucleotides) under Bacillota bacterium. RNAcentral describes it as "6S RNA". It matches the Rfam family "6S / SsrS RNA". From Rfam's summary of the family: E. coli 6S RNA was the first non coding RNA to be sequenced, but its function was unknown until recently. It consists of 184 nucleotides that fold into an extended hairpin structure with a large single-stranded internal bulge. The 6S RNA specifically associates with RNA polymerase holoenzyme containing the sigma70 specificity factor. RNAcentral also lists the same sequence under 1 other name. The record is from RNAcentral. Lineage: Bacteria; Bacillati; Bacillota.